AAAAAAGGUAAGCUACUAAGAGCGAAUGGUGGAUGCCUUGACUGGUAAAGGCGAUGAAGGACGUACUAGACUGCGAUAAGCUACGGGGAGCUGUCAAGAAGCUUUGAUCCGUAGAUUUCCGAAUGGGGCAACCCAAUGUAUAGAGAUAUACAUUACCUAUAUAGGAGCGAACGAGGGGAAUUGAAACAUCUUAGUACCCUCAGGAAAAGAAAUCAAUAGAGAUUGUGUCAGUAGCGGCGAGCGAAAGCGCAAGAGGGCAAACCCAGUGCUUGCACUGGGGGUUGUAGGACUGCAAUGUGCAAGAGCUGAGUUUAGCAGAACAUUCUGGAAAGUAUAGCCAUAGAGGGUGAUAGUCCCGUAUGCGAAAAACAAAGCUUAGCUAGCAGUAUCCUGAGUAGGGCGGGACACGAGGAAUCCUGUCUGAAUCCGGGUCGACCACGAUCCAACCCUAAAUACUAAUACCAGAUCGAUAGUGCACAAGUACCGUGAGGGAAAGGUGAAAAGAACUGAGGUGAUCAGAGUGAAAUAGAACCUGAAACCAUUUGCUUACAAUCAUUCAGAGCACUAUGUAGCAAUACAGUGUGAUGGACUGCCUUUUGCAUAAUGAGCCUGCGAGUUGUGGUGUCUGGCAAGGUUAAGCAAACGCGAAGCCGUAGCGAAAGCGAGUCUGAAUAGGGCGCUUAGUCAGAUGCUGCAGACCCGAAACGAAGUGAUCUAUCCAUGAGCAAGUUGAAGCUAGUGUAAGAACUAGUGGAGGACUGAACCCAUAGGCGUUGAAAAGCCCCGGGAUGACUUGUGGAUAGGGGUGAAAGGCCAAUCAAACUUCGUGAUAGCUGGUUCUCUCCGAAAUAUAUUUAGGUAUAGCGUUGUGUCGUAAUAUAAGGGGGUAGAGCACUGAAUGGGCUAGGGCAUACACCAAUGUACCAAACCCUAUCAAACUCCGAAUACCUUAUAUGUAAUCACAGCAGUCAGGCGGCGAGUGAUAAAAUCCGUCGUCAAGAGGGAAACAACCCAGACUACCAGCUAAGGUCCCUAAAUCUUACUUAAGUGGAAAACGAUGUGAAGUUACUUAAACAACCAGGAGGUUGGCUUAGAAGCAGCCAUCCUUUAAAGAAAGCGUAAUAGCUCACUGGUCUAGUGAUUUUGCGCGGAAAAUAUAACGGGGCUAAAGUAAGUACCGAAGCUGUAGACUUGCGCACAACUUAGAUUAUUUAAGUUUAGAAUAUGAGAAACUAAGUUAUAUUUUUACUGAUUUUUAUAGAGUAAAGAUAGAAAUAAAACUUAGUAAAAUCAGUAAAAAUAUUCUUAGGCUAAAGUUAAGUAGUUUAAGUUGUGUGCAAGUGGUAGGAGAGCGUUCUAUUUGCGUCGAAGGUAUACCGGUAAGGAGUGCUGGAGCGAAUAGAAGUGAGCAUGCAGGCAUGAGUAGCGAUAAUUAAUGUGAGAAUCAUUAACGCCGUAAACCCAAGGUUUCCUACGCGAUGCUCGUCAUCGUAGGGUUAGUCGGGUCCUAAGUCGAGUCCGAAAGGGGUAGACGAUGGCAAAUUGGUUAAUAUUCCAAUACCAACAUUAGUGUGCGAUGGAAGGACGCUUAGGGCUAAGGGGGCUAGCGGAUGGAAGUGCUAGUCUAAGGUCGUAGGAGGUUAUACAGGCAAAUCCGUAUAACAAUACUCCGAGAACUGAAAGGCUUUUUGAAGU
RNAcentral lists this ribosomal RNA (1695 nucleotides) under Campylobacter jejuni. RNAcentral's name for it is "partial 23S ribosomal RNA". It matches the Rfam family "Bacterial large subunit ribosomal RNA", at positions 1 to 1581 of the family's 2925-position model. Lineage: Bacteria; Pseudomonadati; Campylobacterota; Epsilonproteobacteria; Campylobacterales; Campylobacteraceae. The record is from RNAcentral.